Molecule: ribosomal RNA, 497 nt
Filed under: uncultured bacterium
Lineage: Bacteria
Description: partial 16S ribosomal RNA
Rfam family: Bacterial small subunit ribosomal RNA
Source: RNAcentral
GACGAACGCUGGCGGCGUGCCUAAUACAUGCAAGUUGAGCGCUGAAGGUUGGUACUUGUACCAACUGGAUGAGCAGCGAACGGGUGAGUAACGCGUGGGGAAUCUGCCUUUGAGCGGGGGACAACAUUUGGAAACGAAUGCUAAUACCGCAUAAAAACUUUAAACACAAGUUUUAAGUUUGAAAGAUGCAAUUGCAUCACUCAAAGAUGAUCCCGCGUUGUAUUAGCUAGUUGGUGAGGUAAAGGCUCACCAAGGCGAGGAUACAUAGCCGACCUGAGAGGGGGAUCGGCCACAUUGGGACUGAGACACGGCCCAAACUCCUACGGGAGGCAGCAGUAGGGAAUCUUCGGCAAUGGAUGAAAGUCUGACCGAGCAACGCCGCGUGAGUGAAGAAGGUUUUCGGAUCGUAAAACUCUGUUGGUAGAGAAGAACGUUGGUGAGAGUGGAAAGCUCAUCAAGUGACGGUAACUACCCAGAAAGGGACGGCUAACUACGUG